This 457-nucleotide ribosomal RNA is filed under the name uncultured bacterium. Its description in RNAcentral is "bacterial SSU rRNA". It matches the Rfam family "Bacterial small subunit ribosomal RNA", at positions 28 to 484 of the family's 1533-position model. The record is from RNAcentral.
GACGAACGCUGGCGGCGUGCCUAACACAUGCAAGUCAACUUGACUGAAGGAGCAAUCUGACAGUAGAGUGGCGCAAGGGUGCGUAACGCGUAAGUAACUUGCCCCAAGGUAAGGAAUAACGUCGAGAAAUCGGCGCUAAUACCUCAUAAUGCAGCGGAUCCGCAUGGAUAUGUUGUUAAAGGUUUACCGCCUUGGGAUAGGCUUGCGUCUGAUUAGCUAGUUGGUGUGGUAACGGCACACCAAGGCUACGAUCAGUAACUGGUCUGAGAGGAUGAUCAGUCACACUGGAACUGAGACACGGUCCAGACUCCUACGGGAGGCAGCAGUGAGGAAUAUUGGGCAAUGCUCGAAAGAGUGACCCAGCAACGCCGCGUGGAGGAUGAAGGUAUUCUAUAUCGUAAACUCCUGUGAGAGCAGACGAAAGACAGAUUAUUAAUCUGGAUGACUGUAUGCUCAG